GAUGAAGAACGUAGCGAAAUGCGAUAAGUAAUGUGAAUUGCAGAAUUCAGUGAGUCAUCGAAUCUUUGAACGCACAUUGCGCCCCCUGGUAUUCCGGGGGGCAUGCCUGUCCGAGCGUCAUUACAACCCUCAAGCUCAGCUUGGUGUUGGGCCCCGCCGCCCCGGCGGGCCCUAAAGUCAGUGGCGGUGCCGUCCGGCUCCGAGCGUAGUAAUUCUUCUCGCUCUGGAGGUCCGGUCGUGUGCUCGCCAGCAACCCCCAAUUUUUUUCAGGUUGACCUCGGAUCAGGUAGGGAUACCCGCUGAACUUAAGCAUAUCAAUAAGCGGAGGA
This 329-nucleotide unclassified non-coding RNA is filed under the name soil metagenome. RNAcentral's name for it is "partial contains 5.8S ribosomal RNA, internal transcribed spacer 2, and large subunit ribosomal RNA". The stretch from base 1 to 120 matches the Rfam family "5.8S ribosomal RNA", at positions 35 to 154 of the family's 154-position model. The record is from RNAcentral.